CACAUUUGGAUGUUGAGAACAUCAGCACAUACCUAAUAAUUCCAUUAAAGAGUGAUGCUUUAAGUGAAACAUUGUCUUGGGAAAAUAAGGCUUUCUCACACUCCUACCCACUCUACCAGCUUACUGCAUGUUUUCAUCAGCCAUGUCUUCAGAGAAAACAGGUUGACAGAUGUAAAGACUGACUGGAUUUCCAUAUGAAGUGAGUGACUUCUGUAAUUUUCCUUGGACUUAGCCCUGGACUUAGCUACGAU
This 251-nucleotide long non-coding RNA is filed under the name Cricetulus griseus (Chinese hamster). Its description in RNAcentral is "lncRNA (ENSCGRG00000026482.1)". The record is from RNAcentral. Lineage: Eukaryota; Metazoa; Chordata; Mammalia; Rodentia; Cricetidae.